This 502-nucleotide ribosomal RNA is filed under the name uncultured bacterium. Its description in RNAcentral is "partial 16S ribosomal RNA". It matches the Rfam family "Bacterial small subunit ribosomal RNA", at positions 28 to 507 of the family's 1533-position model. The record is from RNAcentral.
GACGAACGCUGGCGGCGUGCCUAAUACAUGCAAGUCGAACGAACCGCGACUAAGUGCUUGCACUAAGUCAAGGUGAGUGGCGAACGGGUGAGUAACACGUGGGUAACCUACCUCAUAGUGGGGGAUAACAGUCGGAAACGACUGCUAAUACCGCAUAGGACAUAGGAUCACAUGAUCCAGUGAGGAAAGGUGGCGCAAGCUAUCGCUAGGAGAUGGAGCCGCGGUGCAUUAGCUAGUUGGUAGGGUAAAGGCCUACCAAGGCGAUGAUGCAUAGCCGACCUGAGAGGGUGAUCGGCCACAUUGGGACUGAGACACGGCCCAAACUCCUACGGGAGGCAGCAGUAGGGAAUCUUCCGCAAUGGACGCAAGUCUGACGGAGCAACGCCGCGUGAGUGAAGAAGGUCUUCGGAUCGUAAAGCUCUGUUGUUAGAGAAGAACAGCGCAUAGAGUAACUGCUAUGCGUGUGACGGUAUCUAACCAGAAAGCCACGGCUAACUACGUG